Molecule: long non-coding RNA, 1067 nt
Organism: Daucus carota subsp. sativus
Lineage: Eukaryota; Viridiplantae; Streptophyta; Magnoliopsida; Apiales; Apiaceae
Exons: 5
Source: RefSeq, a predicted model, not a curated record
UAUAAUUUUGUCAUUUAAUAUAAACAACUAAAUAAAUUGAAACGAGAGAUGUCCAUGUAUUCUUUAACAUUAUUCGUUUCCUCUACAAUUCACUGGAACUUAUAUGCUAGACAUCUAGAAAACAUACAUGAAAUAGUCUAAUAUUUUUCAAACUUAAUUUUAUUAAGUGAUAUUCAGCUCUCAUAAUUUUUUAACAUCUUUUUUUUGAUCACCUUGCUCAAUGAUUGCUCUUCAUCACGCCCUGCUAAUAACCGCAAAUAUUUAAGGAAAAUGUCAGGGGAAUGUUAAGUACUAAAGUAUCUUUCAGUGAUUAAUCAACUCGCCAGAGAUUUAUCAAAAUGAUUAUACGAAGUAUUCAUCGGGAAAAGGAGAGAGACCGAUAGGUCACUGGACAACAAUAGAGGGCUAUCAAGAUAUCUAGAUUCAGUCGGCAGAUCUUCAAAAUAUUCCACUUCUGUUGAUGUUCUAAGAAGCAUCAUCUGGCCUGGAUACUCGACUGUUAAGCCAAUCUAUUGGGGUGUACCAUCUUCAGGGAAAGGGUUUUAGUGCACUGGACAGUUGAGAAAUUGGUUUUUUCUUUGUCAAAUUGGGUUCCCUGUUUGGCCAACUUUUCAGUGAAGGAUGAUAUAUGUAUUUUGUUGAAAGAAUGCUGGAUGGAACUCAAGGAAUACUGGAUAGAACUCAAGGAAUGCUGGAUGAAGCUGAAGGGAUGCUUGGUUGACGUUUGUAUCAGGUCUUAAUUUUAUGUAUUCAGGUCUGGACAUUAUUGUUGGGAUACCAUGGACAUAAUUCAACUUAUGCACAAAGGGAGUAUAUGAUGGCAGUCAAGAAAAUAGAGUACGAGGCUAUUAACUUGCAGUGGCAGGUAUCUAGCUAAAUAUGAGGGUGCUUGGGCAUUUACUAAUGCUCUGGUAUUUUAACACAUGGUACUCAUGGUUGUACAAUUGUUUUUUGAACAAGAGAGAGAGCCAAGAAAAGCCAAUUAUCCUGAUCAGACUCUAGGUUUCAGAUUUAUCAAAAUUCAAACAAUUUUACUGUUAAAAGCCAUGGAAGAUUGUUCAGGUUCA